Molecule: ribosomal RNA, 306 nt
Filed under: Triticum aestivum (bread wheat)
Lineage: Eukaryota; Viridiplantae; Streptophyta; Magnoliopsida; Poales; Poaceae
Description: partial small subunit ribosomal RNA
Source: RNAcentral
AUGUCCGCCUCCACCCAAGUCUCUUCCCUUGGCCUCAAUUAUACCACAUCCGAGCCUCUCAAUCGAACCAACUAUGUCCUCUGGAAAGCCCAAGCUCACUCCCAAAUCAUGGGAGCUGGGCUAUAUGGGUACAUCAAUCAAUCCACACCCGAACCCACCAAGACCAUCGUGACCAAGAACUCCGAUGGGAAAGAAGAGACCGUUCCUAACCCUGCCUACAACCCCUAGCUCGUCCAGGACCAGCAGAUCAUGGCAUAUCUCCUCCGGAACCUCUCCAAGGAAGUUCUUGUUCAGGUUGCAUCCCUA